AAGUCAAUGGAUGCUAACAAGUACCUGAAGAAGGUUGGGUUAGGGCGUGACGAUAUGUUUUUUUGGAAACAAGUGGGAAAAGCAUUGCUUUGCACUUACACAAUCUUUGGUAUCGCUUGGAUAUACAAUGAAACGUCUCCUUUGGGUUGGUGGACGUUGAAGCCGAGACCAAAGGAGGAGAGAGAGUUGGCUCAUUUGUAUGAGCGGCGUGAGUUUCCUUAUCCUGGUGAU
Molecule: long non-coding RNA, 231 nt
Filed under: Arabidopsis lyrata
Lineage: Eukaryota; Viridiplantae; Streptophyta; Magnoliopsida; Brassicales; Brassicaceae
Description: long non-coding RNA (ALYR_LNC000667)
Source: RNAcentral